UCUAGCGUACAAAUAUCAUAACUACAAUCACAAACCCAUCAGAGUCACUUCUCAAGGAGCUACAAGUUGUAGAGGAAAUGAAAGACCAAUGUGAUCAGAAAAGAGAGGAGUAUGAGACCUUGCGGGCAGCUUAUAGAGAGAAAGGACGAUCAAGACAUUCCAAAGUUGAAACAUUCUCCCCA
Molecule: long non-coding RNA, 182 nt
Organism: Lolium rigidum
Lineage: Eukaryota; Viridiplantae; Streptophyta; Magnoliopsida; Poales; Poaceae
Exons: 3
Source: RefSeq, a predicted model, not a curated record